AUUGAACGCUGGCGGCAUGCCUUACACAUGCAAGUCGAACGGCAGCACGGGAGCAAUCCUGGUGGCGAGUGGCGAACGGGUGAGUAAUAUAUCGGAACGUGCCCAGUCGUGGGGAUAACGUAGCGAAAGCUACGCUAAUACCGCAUACGAUCUAUGGAUGAAAGCGGGGGAUCGCAAGACCUCGCGCGAUUGGAGCGGCCGAUAUCAGAUUAGGUAGUUGGUGGGGUAAAGGCCUACCAAGGCGACGAUCCAUAGCUGGUCUGAGAGGAUGAUCAGCCACACUGGGACUGAGACACGGCCCAGACUCCUACGGGAGGCAGCAGUGGGGAAUAUUGGACAAUGGGCGAAAGCCUGAUCCAGCAAUGCCGCGUGAGUGAUGAAGGCCUUAGGGUGUAAAGCUCUUUUACCCGAGAUGAUAAUGACAGUAUCGGGAGAAUAAGCUCCGGCUAACUCCGUGCCAGCAGCCGACGG
This 471-nucleotide ribosomal RNA is filed under the name uncultured bacterium. RNAcentral describes it as "bacterial SSU rRNA". It matches the Rfam family "Bacterial small subunit ribosomal RNA", at positions 30 to 520 of the family's 1533-position model. The record is from RNAcentral.